AAAACCAUUUGUUAAAUGCUUCAAGGCUCAAACCUAAAACCUAGGAGUAGCUAAUAGAGCUAAAGCCGUAUCAAUUUAUUCUUUUUAAUCUUCUUGUGUGUGCGCGUUUAAUAGUAACUUAAUCAUGACAAAAUGAAUAAAUUGUUUUAUUUAAUUAAAAUUAAACUGUAAUAAUAUUUAUGAGAUUCUAUUUUAUACUUUAACCUGACAAAAUCAAACCUUAUGCAUUAGCCCAUCUUAGCAGGGUUCUAAAUUUAGCAUUAGUUCUCUAAAUCUAUCUCAAACAAUACUCUUUUGAGUUUACAUUUAAAAACUAUAUAUUUUUGUUUAUAUUUAAAUAUGUAAUAAAGAAAAAGUGAUCACUACCAAGUACAUAAAAAAAAAUAUUAUACACAUAAGACACAAUUCAAGUGAUAAUCUAAAAACUAAAAUAUUUCAUUAAUUUACUCACUUAGACACAUUUCUCUAUUAAGAAAACAUAAACUCACGACGAACAGCCUAAAUUGGAUAAUAAUAAUAAUAAUAACAACAACAGUACAAAGAUACAGAUCAUAUAUGAAGCAAUGUAAAUUCACAUCAUGGUUGGAAAAUCGAGGUGGCCGAUGGUGUAAGUAGCGAAACCCAUUGAAGAGAGUCGAAAGCCAGGCCGAUCAAGUUGAGCAGCAUAUUCCUCUAACACACUUCGAGCAUCCCAGAUAACGUAGAAGAUUGAAGAGACAAAUAAUAAGAAGUAUGUGGUUAUUGGUACCAUAUUUUCUGAAAACUAAAGGAUAAUUUGAUGUGAAUAUUAGUAAUGUGAGAGUGAAAUGCUUUUAUAUGCUUCAAAAGACAAAAAAAAAUGAAUAUGGGAAGGGUUGUAGGUACUGACACAAGAAGACAAUAAAGGAAAAUUCGAGCAAAUCGAGAUGGUUUGUGAGAUUGAUGAGCUUAGCCAAAACUCAUAUUAAACGGUUAAAAGGAAAGAAAAGCAAAAGAUGGAAAGAAAAAGUAAUGAUAUAGUAUUUUUUGGUUUGUGAGUUUCUCCUUUUGGAAUGCCCUUUAAACAAUGCUGUGGCUUCACUCCAUGUCUGUAAAUGUAAAAAUUGACUUGACACCUAUCAAAAUAACCCUACAUAUAGGACACCCCCGAAAAUUAAAACCCUACUUCACCCUUAAUUUUAGGUUCUCUAUUG
This 1172-nucleotide long non-coding RNA is filed under the name Lathyrus oleraceus (garden pea). RNAcentral's name for it is "Pisum sativum (pea) long non-coding RNA (PSAT_LNC026541)". The record is from RNAcentral. Lineage: Eukaryota; Viridiplantae; Streptophyta; Magnoliopsida; Fabales; Fabaceae.